Molecule: transfer RNA, 72 nt
Filed under: Filimonas sp.
Lineage: Bacteria; Pseudomonadati; Bacteroidota; Chitinophagia; Chitinophagales; Chitinophagaceae
Description: tRNA-Arg
Rfam family: tRNA
About the family: Transfer RNA (tRNA) molecules are approximately 80 nucleotides in length. Their secondary structure includes four short double-helical elements and three loops (D, anti-codon, and T loops).
Source: RNAcentral
UGGCUUAUAGUUUAAUGGAUAGAACACUUCACUACGGAUGAAGGAAUACAAGUUCGACUCUUGUUAAGCCAA